Molecule: unclassified non-coding RNA, 2373 nt
Filed under: Neodiprion pinetum (white pine sawfly)
Lineage: Eukaryota; Metazoa; Arthropoda; Insecta; Hymenoptera; Diprionidae
Description: cytochrome b5 reductase 4, transcript variant X4
Source: RNAcentral
CACACGAAUGCGCAUGCAUAAGUUUUACGUGUGAUCAGAAUCGUUCGAUAAAACAUGUGUUUGCCUUCCGAAGAGAAUUGGUGAUAUUUCGAAAAGCAAAAUAAAUCAGGUAUACGUGUCGUUGACUGGGAACAAUGAGUGAAAUUUUCGUGAGUAAAAAAUAACCUCCAACACGCCAGUUAUUCGAUCAAAUUCGAGUACUCGGAGCACGCUGGUUCUCGAAAUGAGUUUUCGGUUUGUCCGCACGGCUUAUGCGUGCGCACGAGUCUAUUAGUAUAUGCAUGCAGCCGACAAUAAUCGCGCCGAUCCACAGAUUGCGUCACUGAAACUGUGGCGAGGACGACCUUAAUCCUAGGUAAGGAAAAAACAACGAAAACUAACCGACUAAUAAACCCACUUGCAGUCGGAGUUGGAAUUAAUUAAAUUAUACACGCACGUCUGAAGAGGAGGCACGCAUCCAUGGGAUCUAGUUGUAAAAAUGUACAGUCCGAUGCCAUUAAUUACCGAUAUUUGGCAUCAGGUGAAAGAGAAUGAAAUAAACGUAUGAGAAAGUAAUAAACAAAACACCGAAAAUGGAGACAAACGAAGUUGAAAAUGCUGAGAAAGUUCGCUCCGAAAUUACCAAUAGCAAUAGUUCCGCGGAUGCCGUGAAGCCUCCGAAGGAUGCCAAAGGUGCCAAGAUAGUUGAAGAAAAACUGAUGAAAGUAAACGUACAGCUAAAACCACCGAUAUCGCCGACUAGUCUUUUAGCACAAAAUAUAGCCCUCUUACCUACGGGGGUCGCCAAAGUAAAGCAAUCACAACCAGCGAAUUCCGUUCCCAAAAUGAAUUCGUCAAAUUCCGGAUCAUCGAGCGCAUCCGCUACCGGAAAUCCGCGAAAUAAGACGGCACUUGCACCAGGCCAUAGCCUUAUGGAUUGGAUUCGACUAGGUGCUUCAGGAGUCGAUUUAACAGGAGUUAAUGGCGUUCCGCAAAAUGUUACUCCUUCGGAACUCGCCCGACACAACCAGCCGAACGAUGCUUGGAUCGCGAUUCGAGGAAUCGUGUACAACGUUACGAGAUACAUAGAUUUUCAUCCAGGUGGAAUGCCGGAGCUUAUGAAAGGCGUCGGAAAGGAUGCGACCAAGUUAUUUGACGACGUGCACGCAUGGGUCAACUACCAAAGCAUUCUACAAAAGUGCAUCGUGGGUAGGUUGAAUCGUUUCGCUGGCGAGACUUCGGCACCACCCGUGAAGAUCGUAUCUCCUUCUUCAACGUCGUCUGGUCUCCUUUCGCGAUGUAUCAAACAACGUUCAACGAGUGAAACUACUACUCCGCAUCCGAAAAUGGAUUGGAUUCAAACUAGCAAUACUAUCACCUUAUUUUACUAUUCCCUACGAGAUCAUCCAGCAGCGGGUUAUCAACUAAUGCAGAUCACCGACUCUAAAUAUCAUUUUAAAUUUUGCUUCGAGAAAGAUUUUAUAAUUCACGACAUUAAAUUAUCUGGUGCUGUUAAUUGGCCUCCGAAAUGGAAGAGAAAUUUCGAAUCCAUGAAGAUGGAAAUCACAUACACAAAGAAAGAACCAGGCUUGUGGAAAACUUACGGUACUUACAAAACAGUACGCGAGCGUAACGCGAAGCAAAGAACUUACAGAGAGUACGAAGUAGUCAGCAAUACACCGCUCUGUAAGUUGGUUCACUUGAUCGUUCUGCGUACUAAAGAAUACUUGGAAAUAGUACCAAUAGGCAGGCAUGUCGAAGCCAAACUUCAAAUAAUGGGCACGGACGUAUCCCGAAUGUACACUCCGGUUCCGCCGUAUCUUCACCCUGAGGAUGUCGCACCCAACUACGAUUCCGAUUGUAUUUGCUUGAUGGUCAAGAGGUAUGCCGAUGGCGCCCUUACUCCAACUAUGACAGCAUUAAAGUCGGGGGAAACUUUGAUGCUAAGCAAUUGCCUGGGAACCUUUACCGUCGAGAACUUCCAACAAUUUACUAUUUUUCACAUGCUAGCUGCAGGCACCGGUCUCACUGCAAUGCUGUCGAUCAUUCAGUGGGCACUCGGCAGACGCAACGUAAGCCGUAUUAAUGUUCUCAACUUCAACAAGAACGAAGAUAGCAUAUUUUAUUCCAGGCAGUUGGAUAAAGUUCUCUCAAGCGAGCCAAGCAAAUUCUACCAGCAAAACGUGUGAAACUUGAGUUUCAUCCUGUAGAAAAAAACUGCUUCUCAAUAACAAUCAUACCCCUCAUGGACUGAUUCACUGUUACGCAUAUUUUGUCACAUCCAGAAGACUCCUGGACCGGUCGUCGUGGCGAAAUUUCGACUAAUCUGUUGCAAGAAUUGUUUGGUCCUAGUUCUCAGGCAUGCGUUUUCAGCUGUGGACCUAGACCCUUCAU